AGUGAACGCUGGCGGUAGGCCUAACACAUGCAAGUCGAACGGCAGCACAGUAAGAGCUUGCUCUUACGGGUGGCGAGUGGCGGACGGGUGAGGAAUACAUCGGAAUCUACUUUUUCGUGGGGGAUAACGUAGGGAAACUUACGCUAAUACCGCAUACGACCUACGGGUGAAAGCAGGGGAUCUUCGGACCUUGCGCGAUUGAAUGAGCCGAUGUCGGAUUAGCUAGUUGGCGGGGUAAAGGCCCACCAAGGCGACGAUCCGUAGCUGGUCUGAGAGGAUGAUCGGCCACACUGGAACUGAGACACGGUCCAGACUCCUACGGGAGGCAGCAGUGGGGAAUAUUGGACAAUGGGCGCAAGCCUGAUCCAGCCAUACCGAGUGGGUGAAGAAGGCCUUCGGGUUGUAAAGCCGUUUUGUUGGGAAAGAAAAGCAGCAGGUUAAUACCCCGCUGUUCUGACGGUACCCAAAGAAUAAGCACCGGCUAACUUCGUG
This 492-nucleotide ribosomal RNA is filed under the name uncultured bacterium. Its description in RNAcentral is "partial 16S ribosomal RNA". It matches the Rfam family "Bacterial small subunit ribosomal RNA", at positions 29 to 507 of the family's 1533-position model. The record is from RNAcentral.